Molecule: transfer RNA, 76 nt
Filed under: Acidobacteriota bacterium
Lineage: Bacteria; Pseudomonadati; Acidobacteriota
Also listed under: 5 other names
Description: tRNA-Ala
Rfam family: tRNA
About the family: Transfer RNA (tRNA) molecules are approximately 80 nucleotides in length. Their secondary structure includes four short double-helical elements and three loops (D, anti-codon, and T loops).
Source: RNAcentral
GGGCGAGUAGCUCAGCUGGGAGAGCGCAUCGUUCGCAACGAUGAGGUCGCCGGUUCGACCCCGGUCUCGUCCACCA